UGGGUCGGUAGCUCAGGUGGUUAGAGCGUACGCCUGAUAAGCGUAAGGUCGAUGGUUCGAGUCCAUCUCGACCCACCA
RNAcentral lists this transfer RNA (78 nucleotides) under Rhodobacter capsulatus SB 1003. RNAcentral's name for it is "tRNA-Ile". It matches the Rfam family "tRNA". Rfam says of the family: Transfer RNA (tRNA) molecules are approximately 80 nucleotides in length. Their secondary structure includes four short double-helical elements and three loops (D, anti-codon, and T loops). Further hydrogen bonds mediate the characteristic L-shaped molecular structure. tRNAs have two regions of fundamental functional importance: the anti-codon, which is responsible for specific mRNA codon recognition, and the 3' end, to which the tRNAs corresponding amino acid is attached (by aminoacyl-tRNA synthetases). tRNAs cope with the degeneracy of the genetic code in two manners: having more than one tRNA (with a specific anti-codon) for a particular amino acid; and 'wobble' base-pairing, i.e. permitting non-standard base-pairing at the 3rd anti-codon position. The record is from RNAcentral. Lineage: Bacteria; Pseudomonadati; Pseudomonadota; Alphaproteobacteria; Rhodobacterales.